Molecule: non-coding RNA, 92 nt
Filed under: Halodesulfovibrio spirochaetisodalis
Lineage: Bacteria; Pseudomonadati; Thermodesulfobacteriota; Desulfovibrionia; Desulfovibrionales; Desulfovibrionaceae
Description: sRNA-Xcc1
Rfam family: sRNA-Xcc1
Source: Rfam by way of RNAcentral
GGUCGGGAGUAUGAAGGUGAUACAACACCCACAAGGGAAAAGCCUUUUGCCGUUUCCUGUGUAGCGGUUUGAGAGCUCCUGACCUUUUUACU